CUUAGCUAGACACUGGACAAGCACCAGCCCAGCGCUUGACAAAGACUCAUCUGUCGGUCGAAAUGUUGCGGUGUUCCCCUUGUUCCAAUAUUUGUGCCUUUAGAGCAUUGGAGUGCUUGGACUUUCUUUCUUUAACUGGUUUAGAAUAAAGAUAUUUAUCUUUGAUGGACUAGCAGAAAUUGCCUGCCCUGGGCUGAGUCUGAUGGGAGUUUACUUUGGAGAAUGUGAAAUGUACAUUGCUGGAGAAUAC
Molecule: non-coding RNA, 250 nt
Organism: Pelobates cultripes (western spadefoot toad)
Lineage: Eukaryota; Metazoa; Chordata; Amphibia; Anura; Pelobatidae
Source: the annotation of a GenBank genome assembly